UGUGAGUUUGAUCCUGGCUCAGGACGAACUCUGGCGGCAUGCCUAAUACAUGCAAGUCGAACGAGCUUCCGUUGAAUGACGUGCUUGCACUGAUUUYAACAAUGAAGCGAGUGGCGAACUGGUGAGUAACACGUGGGAAAUCUGCCCAGAAGCAGGGGAUAACACUUGGAAACAGGUGCUAAUACCGUAUAACAACAAAAUCCGCAUGGAUUUUGUUUGAAAGGUGGCUUCGGCUAUCACUUCUGGAUGAUCCCGCGGCGUAUUAGUUAGUUGGUGAGGUAAAGGCCCACCAAGACGAUGAUACGUAGCCGACCUGAGAGGGUAAUCGGCCACAUUGGGACUGAGACACGGCCCAAACUCCUACGGGAGGCAGCAGUAGGGAAUCUUCCACAAUGGACGAAAGUCUGAUGGAGCAAUGCCGCGUGAGUGAAGAAGGGUUUCGGCUCGUUUUACUCUGUUGUUAAAGAAGAACACCUUUGAGAGUAACUGUUCAAGGGUUGACGGUAUAACCAAGAAAGGAAC
RNAcentral lists this ribosomal RNA (522 nucleotides) under Levilactobacillus brevis. RNAcentral describes it as "bacterial SSU rRNA". Lineage: Bacteria; Bacillati; Bacillota; Bacilli; Lactobacillales; Lactobacillaceae. The record is from RNAcentral.